ACUACUGCCUAUCCUUUGUCAUAGCAGCUCAUCCAUCCGAGCCUAAUCAAAUCGCUCUUGGCAUGAGUGACGAGCAGUGCAUGUAGUUGAGCCUUCUGAUGCAGAGCUGAAGUGGGUGGCACACCCUCCCAAGACAAUGGCUCCCUCCCUUCUAAUUCGUCAAAUCCUUCUUUGAGUGGUCAACCAUCCGAGCACCCCACCAGGUAACUGCCACGGCAUAAAGAUGAGAAGAUGAAAUGAUCAGGCUAAUCCUUCAAUGACCUUUCCUAUACAGUUUAUCCUCGGUAUUUUAAUAUGAAGACGAAGAAUGUUCAUGGAGCCUUUUCUAGAUUUUUGUUACUAUGCAGCCCCUGGAAUUGUUUACCCAAAGCAAAUUUAUAGCUCAUACAAACUGUCUGCCUGAGUACAAACAUGCUUAUCAACUGUGUUUGACUGAGUUCAUCAUCGCCGGAUUGAAGAGUUUGGGGCUUUUUAUUCUUGUUCUUUGUAUGAGUUUUGUUUAUUGUUGAUUCUGGGUUUGGGUUUUGUAUGAUUGUGGAGUUGGAUGGCAGAUGAUUUUUUUAUGAGAAUAAUGGGAAUGAUAAUUUUGUAAAAUCAUGGUGGGAAGAUUUAUGCAAAAUCUGGAUUGAAUAAUUAUGUAAAAUCUGGAAGAUUGAAUUUAUGUGGAUUAGAUUUUACAGGAGGUGAUAGUUCCUAAAUAUGUAGAUGGAAGAUGAAUUUGUAUGGAUUUUAAAUAACUGGGAGGUGAUAAUUGUGUAAAAUCUUGCUGGUUUAGAAGUAGUUUGUUAAAUCUUUCCUGUUUAGAAGAUUGCCAUGAUUUUGUUGUAUUUA
Molecule: long non-coding RNA, 831 nt
Organism: Pistacia vera
Lineage: Eukaryota; Viridiplantae; Streptophyta; Magnoliopsida; Sapindales; Anacardiaceae
Exons: 2
Source: RefSeq, a predicted model, not a curated record